ACAGGAAGUGUGCCCGAAAUUAAGGGCUACUUUGAUAGAGUACGCUACAGAGGUUAAAACCCUCUCACUUCCC
This 73-nucleotide transfer RNA is filed under the name Flexiseps mandokava. Its description in RNAcentral is "tRNA-Ile". Lineage: Eukaryota; Metazoa; Chordata; Lepidosauria; Squamata; Scincidae. The record is from RNAcentral.